This 1870-nucleotide long non-coding RNA is filed under the name Piliocolobus tephrosceles (Ugandan red Colobus). Its description in RNAcentral is "lncRNA (ENSPTEG00000030543.1)". The record is from RNAcentral. Lineage: Eukaryota; Metazoa; Chordata; Mammalia; Primates; Cercopithecidae.
ACUCAGCUUCUUUCCUGGCAUCUACCUUGGUGGGAGCUGAAGCAUGAAGAACUAUAGAUCCCAUGCCCUCGCCCCACAUGACCAGAUCCCUUGGAGAGUCUGCUUCUGCCUUCCCUCCCAGACUUCAGUGAUGUUCAAGGAUCUCGCUUGCUCAAAGCCUACAGGCUCUGGGAUGCCCACAUGGGGCAAACUGGCCAAUAAAGAACAAGACAGCAUACCCCGUGCCGAACUGCGGGUGAACCAGGCACAGCUCCUGCAGCAUGGUAACACUGUCCUUCUGGUCGAAUUCACAGUGUCUCUCUAGUGCCCAGCACUGUGCCUGGCACAUAGAAGUCAGAGAAGCUCUAUAAAUGAGAGGAUCAGAGGAUGUGACAGGAAAAUGGCUGGUGAGGACAGAGCCCAUGACAGAGUGUCUGUCUGCCUUGCUACAUUUCUGCGGCUGUGAAGCUGAGCCUAAGGUGGGCCUGGCCUGGUCCACUUCCACUGGGAUGUGUUAAAAGAGUGUCGGAACAUCAGAACACUGUCUGGGAACCAUGUGGUCACACUUUCCCUUCAAACAGAGACUCAAGAGCUCACAGCAUGGUGCUGGUAUCUUUGCCAAUACCCUACAAAGUGUCUUUGCAGAUGUCUCCAUUUGACCAGUGAGCGUUACAAUGGAUCCAUUCAUGAAGUAAAAAAACUCCUUAUUGCACGAGUCAGAGGUCACGCGCUACAACCAAAAUAGGCUUUCCUGCCAUCACUGCCACUCUGAAGUGGCUGCCCAGCUAUGGCUACAUGGUCUAACUCAUCUUGCAUCUGGGUGGCCUCAUAUGACUAGUUCUCACCAAAGGAAUUGUGGCAGAUUCCCUAUAGUGGACCACACCAGUAAUUCCCACUUCAUAUUGUUUUAUAAUAUGAUGUUGCACUCCUGUAAUAAGCCAUGGGCUCUAUGUUCUCUCCCUUUCAAUCUGGGUAAGCUUGUGAGGCUUAUCAGGCCAAGUCACAAAAGGUGAUACAGCUUCCAUCCAGGCCUGUUGGGAUACUCUUGGAACCCAGCCACCAAGGUGUGAGGCAGCCCAGCAGCCACAUGGAAAGUCCAACUGUGGGUGUUCUGGCUAUGGCCACAGUUGACGCACACGGAGACACCAGCCUUUGAGGUGAAGGGGAGGUGGUGGUAAGUUGUCCGAUACCUCCACCCCCAGCCUUCAAGCAAUCCUAGGAGACACCAAGUGGAACAGAAGCAAGCAGUCCCCACCAAGCCCUGCCCAAAUUGCAAAUUCAUGGGGAAACAAAUGUUGUCAUUGCUGUAACACACCAAGUUGGGGGUGAUAUGUUAAACAUCAAUAACGAACUGGAAUGGGAAUGGGAGUGGAAAUGGUCUAUGCCACUUCCAGUCCAGGCAUUCGGGACCUGGGGAUGCCUUCUCCAUAUCCUCUCCUUCUCCAAGGCCCUCAGACCACAAGAUGAAAAGAACCAAGUAUCUCAGCCAGGUGUGGUGGCUCACGCCUAUAACCCCAGCACUUUGGGAGGCCAAGGCAGGCAGAUCACAAGGUCAGGAGAUGGAGACUAGCCAUCUGGCAUGGGGCUAACACAGUGAAGCUCCAUCUCUACUAAAAACGCAAAAAAUUAGCUGGGCUUGGUGGUACAUGCCUGUAGUGCCAGCUACUCAGGAGGCUGAGGCAGGAGAAUCGCUUGAACCCGGGAGGAGGAGGUUCCAGUGAGCCAAGAUCACGCCACUGCACUCCAGCCUGGACAACAGAGCAAGACUCCCUCUCAAAAAAAAAAAAAACUAGUGUCCCGAUUGCUACACUGUGGCAAGUCUUGGGUCGACCAAAAAUACCUGCAUCAAACUGCUCAAGAGCUAGAAAUAAAUUUCUAUUGUGUGAAGCCA